UAUGAGAAGGCCUUCGGGUUGUAAAGUACUUUCAGUAGGGAGGAAGGUGGUUAAGCUAAUACCUUAAUCAUUUGACGUUACCUACAGAAGAAGCACCGGCUAACUCCGUGCCAGCAGCCGCGGUAAUACGGAGGGUGCAAGCGUUAAUCGGAAUUACUGGGCGUAAAGCGCAUGCAGGUGGUUUGUUAAGUCAGAUGUGAAAGCCCUGGGCUCAACCUAGGAGUUGCAUUUGAAACUGACAAGCUAGAGUACUGUAGAGGGGGGUAGAAUUUCAGGUGUAGCGGUGAAAUGCGUAGAGAUCUGAAGGAAUACCGGUGGCGAAGGCGGCCCCCUGGACAGAUACUGACACUCAGAUGCGAAAGCGUGGGGAGCAAACAGGAUUAGAUACCCCU
Molecule: ribosomal RNA, 392 nt
Filed under: Vibrio cholerae
Lineage: Bacteria; Pseudomonadati; Pseudomonadota; Gammaproteobacteria; Vibrionales; Vibrionaceae
Description: bacterial SSU rRNA
Rfam family: Bacterial small subunit ribosomal RNA
Source: RNAcentral